Molecule: ribosomal RNA, 376 nt
Filed under: uncultured Glomeromycotina
Lineage: Eukaryota; Fungi; Glomeromycota
Description: SSU rRNA
Rfam family: Eukaryotic small subunit ribosomal RNA
Source: RNAcentral
AGCAGCCGCGGUAAUUCCAGCUCCAAUAGCGUAUAUUAAAGUUGUUGCAGUUAAAAAGCUCGUAGUUGAAUUUCGGGAUCAAUACGUCGGUCGUGCUUCGGUACGUACUGGCGUCAUUGACUUCUCCCUUCUGACGAACCAUGAUGUCAUUAACUUGGUGUCAUGGGAAAUCAGGACUGUUACUUUGAAAAAUUAGAGUGUUUAAAGCAAGCUAACGCUUGAAUACAUUAGCAUGGAAUAAUGAAAUAGGACGUUCGAUCCUAUUUGUUGGUUUCUAGGAUUGACGUAAUGAUUAAUAGGGAUAGUUGGGGGCAUUAGUAUUCAAUUGUCAGAGGUGAAAUUCUUGGAUUUAUUGAAGACUAACUACUGCGGAAGC